RNAcentral lists this ribosomal RNA (1276 nucleotides) under uncultured bacterium. Its description in RNAcentral is "bacterial SSU rRNA". It matches the Rfam family "Bacterial small subunit ribosomal RNA", at positions 83 to 1381 of the family's 1533-position model. The record is from RNAcentral.
GAGUAAGACCAAGCAGCGGACGGGUGAGUAACGCGUGGGUAACCUGCCCUAUACACAUGGAUAACAUACUGAAAAGUUUACUAAUACAUGAUAAUAUAUAUUUACGGCAUCGUAGAUAUAUCAAAGUGUUAGCGGUAUAGGAUGGACCCGCGUCUGAUUAGCUAGUUGGUGAGAUAACUGCCCACCAAGGCGACGAUCAGUAGCCGACCUGAGAGGGUGAUCGGCCACAUUGGAACUGAGACACGGUCCAAACUCCUACGGGAGGCAGCAGUGGGGAAUAUUGCACAAUGGGCGCAAGCCUGAUGCAGCAACGCCGCGUGAACGAUGAAGGUCUUCGGAUCGUAAAGUUCUGUUGCAGGGGAAGAUAAUGACGGUACCCUGUGAGGAAGCCCCGGCUAACUACGUGCCAGCAGCCGCGGUAAUACGUAGGGGGCUAGCGUUAUCCGGAUUUACUGGGCGUAAAGGGUGCGUAGGUGGUCUUUCAAGUCGGUGGUUAAAGGCUACGGCUCAACCGUAGUUAGCCUCCGAAACUGGAAGACUUGAGUGCAGGAGAGGAAAGUGGAAUUCCCAGUGUAGCGGUGAAAUGCGUAGAUAUUGGGAGGAACACCAGUAGCGAAGGCGGCUUUCUGGACUGCAACUGACACUGAGGCACGAAAGCGUGGGUAGCAAACAGGAUUAGAUACCCUGGUAGUCCACGCUGUAAACGAUGAGUACUAGGUGUCGGGGGUUACCCCCCUCGGUGCCGCAGCUAACGCAUUAAGUACUCCGCCUGGGGAGUACGCACGCAAGUGUGAAACUCAAAGGAAUUGACGGGGACCCGCACAAGUAGCGGAGCAUGUGGUUUAAUUCGAAGCAACGCGAAGAACCUUACCUAAGCUUGACAUCCCUUAGACCGGUGUUUAAUCACACCUUCCCUUCGGGGCUGAGGUGACAGGUGGUGCAUGGUUGUCGUCAGCUCGUGUCGUGAGAUGUUGGGUUAAGUCCCGCAACGAGCGCAACCCUUGUCUUUAGUUGCCAGCAUUCAGUUGGGCACUCUAGAGAGACUGCCAGGGAUAACCUGGAGGAAGGUGGGGAUGACGUCAAAUCAUCAUGCCCCUUAUGCUUAGGGCUACACACGUGCUACAAUGGGUGGUACAGAGGGUUGCCAAACCGUGAGGUGGAGCUAAUCCCUUAAAGCCAUUCUCAGUUCGGAUUGUAGGCUGAAACUCGCCUACAUGAAGCUGGAGUUACUAGUAAUCGCAGAUCAGAAUGCUGCGGUGAAUGCGUUCCCGGGUCU